GACGAACGCUGGCGGCGUGCCUAAUACAUGCAAGUAGAACGCUGAAGCGAGGAGCUUACUCUUCUUGGAUGAGUUGCGAACGGGUGAGUAACGCGUAGGUAACCUGCCUUGUAGCGGGGGAUAACUAUUGGAAACGAUAGCUAAUACCGCAUAACAAUGUAUGACACAUGUCAUGUAUGUGAAAGGGGCAAUUGCUCCACUACAAGAUGGACCUUCGUUGUAUUAGCUAGUAGGUGAGGUAAUGGCUCACCUAGGCGACGAUACAUAGCCGCCCUGAGAGGGUGAUCGGCCAGCCUGGGAGGGAGACCCGGCCCAGACGCCUAGGGGAGGCAGCAGUAGGGAAACUUCGGCAAUGGGGGCAAAACUGAGCGCGCAACGCGGCGUGCGUGAAGAAGGUUUUCGGAUCGUAAAGCACGGUUGUAAGUCAAGAAAGGGUGUGCGAGUGGAAAGUUCACAGUGUGACGGUAGCGUACCAGAAAGGGACGGCUAACUACGUG
This 497-nucleotide ribosomal RNA is filed under the name uncultured bacterium. RNAcentral describes it as "partial 16S ribosomal RNA". It matches the Rfam family "Bacterial small subunit ribosomal RNA", at positions 28 to 507 of the family's 1533-position model. The record is from RNAcentral.